Molecule: non-coding RNA, 69 nt
Organism: Schleiferia thermophila str. Yellowstone
Lineage: Bacteria; Pseudomonadati; Bacteroidota; Flavobacteriia; Flavobacteriales; Schleiferiaceae
Source: Rfam
AGCGUAUGGAGGCCAGAAACCACUCAAAAAACGGGGCAAAUACCGAAAAGCCAAAAGAGUAGGAAAAAA